GUUAAUAUUGUGCUAUGGGUUUUUAAAUUUCGGACUAUGGAAGUGGUUCGUUCCUGCAAGAGACUGAUUUCUGGUCUUCUCUUUCCCCUGUUCAGCAGCAAACUCCUCCUCUCCCUUCAUCGUUGUUGUUGCCGUGGCUGGAAUAAACCUUGUGGGGAAUGCUAAAUGGGUAAAUUUCAGUGCUUGGAUUGCCUCAGAUACCUUAGCUGACGUUGAUCUUCCUGCUGAUCCUUGAGCACUUAUAGACAGGUGGAGGGUUGAUUAAAAUUUUUCUUUUGAUGUAAUUAUAAAUGUUUAUAUAUCUUAUUCUUAUUUUAUUUUUGAAAAGUACGAUUAGGUGCUCCACAUAAGCUAUAACUAGGACUUUUAUUUUAUACAUAUGCUGUCUGUCGGCUGGAAGGAGCUAAGCUCUUGAUUUAAUUGAUAUUUUGGCUGUAUCAAUAUAUUGUAAAAAUUUUGAGAAA
This is a long non-coding RNA of Prosopis cineraria, 464 nucleotides long. RefSeq lists it as uncharacterized. NCBI's taxonomy places the organism in Eukaryota, Viridiplantae, Streptophyta, Magnoliopsida, Fabales, Fabaceae. The transcript has 3 exons. The record is from RefSeq and is a predicted model, not a curated record.